CCUACGGGAGGCAGCAGUGGGGAAUUUUGGACAAUGGGCGCAAGCCUGAUCCAGCAAUGCCGCGUGCAGGAUGAAGGCCUUCGGGUUGUAAACUGCUUUUGUACGGAACGAAACGGUCUGCUUUAAUACAGUGGGCUAAUGACGGUACCGUAAGAAUAAGCACCGGCUAACUACGUGCCAGCAGCCGCGGUAAUACGUAGGGUGCGAGCGUUAAUCGGAAUUACUGGGCGUAAAGCGUGCGCAGGCGGUUAUAUAAGACAGAUGUGAAAUCCCCGGGCUCAACCUGGGACCUGCAUUUGUGACUGUAUAGCUAGAGUACGGUAGAGGGGGAUGGAAUUCCGCGUGUAGCAGUGAAAUGCGUAGAUAUGCGGAGGAACACCGAUGGCGAAGGCAAUCCCCUGGACCUGUACUGACGCUCAUGCACGAAAGCGUGGGGAGCAAACAGGAUUAGAUACCCUGGUAGUCCACGCCCUAAACGAUGUCAACUGGUUGUUGGGUCUUCACUGACUCAGUAACGAAGCUAACGCGUGAAGUUGACCGCCUGGGGAGUACGGCCGCAAGGUUGAAACUCGAAAUGAAAUUGACGGCUGAGACGNGCGAGGACGACACGAGGGAGGAG
This 619-nucleotide ribosomal RNA is filed under the name uncultured bacterium. RNAcentral describes it as "bacterial SSU rRNA". It matches the Rfam family "Bacterial small subunit ribosomal RNA", at positions 338 to 950 of the family's 1533-position model. The record is from RNAcentral.